UGAAGCCGGAAUUGCUAGUAAUGGCAGGUCAGCAUACUGCCGUGAAUACGUUCCCGGGCCUUGUACACACCGCCCGUCACACCAUGAGAGUUGGGAAUACCCGAAGCCUGUGAGCUAACAUAACGAGGCAGCAGUCGAAGGUAGAAUCAAUGAUUGGGGUGAAGUCGUAACAAGGUAAC
Molecule: ribosomal RNA, 179 nt
Filed under: uncultured bacterium
Lineage: Bacteria
Description: partial 16S ribosomal RNA
Rfam family: Bacterial small subunit ribosomal RNA
Source: RNAcentral